CCCUUAGAUGUUCUGGGCCGCACGCGCGCUACAAUGAUUAGUUCAACAAGUUGUUUCCACCUUGCCCGGAAGGGUUGGGUAACCUUGCGAAAACUAAUCGUGCUGAGGUUAGAUCAUUGUAAUUAUUGAUCUCUAAUCAGGAAUUCCUAGUAAGCGCGAGUUAUCAGCUCGCGUUGAUUACGUCCCCGCCCUUUGUACACACCGCCCGUCGCUACUACUGAUUGGAUGAUCCGGCCAGUUGUUCGGAGCUGGGGCAACGCUAUGGGGGCAACUCUGUAGUAAGUUCUGGCAAAGUUCCACCAGCCUUACCAUCUAGAAGAAGUAAAAGUCGUAACA
RNAcentral lists this ribosomal RNA (336 nucleotides) under uncultured eukaryote. RNAcentral describes it as "partial 18S ribosomal RNA". It matches the Rfam family "Eukaryotic small subunit ribosomal RNA", at positions 1470 to 1796 of the family's 1831-position model. The record is from RNAcentral.